This is a long non-coding RNA of Sinocyclocheilus grahami, 259 nucleotides long. RefSeq lists it as uncharacterized. The record is from RefSeq and is a predicted model, not a curated record. Lineage: Eukaryota; Metazoa; Chordata; Actinopteri; Cypriniformes; Cyprinidae. The transcript is spliced from 3 exons.
CACGAAUUUGAUAUUUGGCAUGUAGUCAAAGGACUUUCCAAAAAGUUGUGCUCCAUGUCAAGAUACAAGGAUAAUCGAGAGCUGCAGCCAUGGAUACAAAGUAUUUGCAACCACUUAUGGUAUUGCUCUGCAACUUGUGGAGGUGACCCUGACGAACUGAUCGAGAAUUGGAAGUCCAUUCUUUUUCACAUUACAGGUGUGCACAGUUGGAUUGCAGAAGGAAAGCCAAAAAAAUGGCGACACAAUGAUCUCAGUCCGG